CUAUCUAGAAACCCUUCUCCUAAUUUCCCUCUCUCCUCUGAAAACGACGAAUGAUUCACCUUCCUCUUUGAACAAAAUCACAGACUUCUUCCCCCAAAAUCGGAUAUGUGCGCCUCCAUUUUUGUAUAUCUUUUAAACGCUCCUAUCUCUCUCAUCUUCAUAAUGUUUCAUUCAAACAAGAAAGAUUCAGAACGGGCCAAAAAUGCUCUUCAGAAAAUCUGAUCUUUCCGUACCCGAAGAAUCACGUGAAGAUCCAGGCCCUCCAAUAUUUGAAUGUCAAACGGGCAUUUUUGACUCGAUUCAAGCCUCAAGUUCUCACUCAAAACUCUGCCUAAGAACCCUAAUUUUAUACCUAUAAAUACCAGACUUUGUGGCUAUUUUCAGCACCUUUGGAUCCGCCGCUUUUAUACUCUUUUUCACGCCAUUCUUAUCUCAUUUUUUACUCAUUAGAACCACACUCUAAGGGUUCGUUUUGUUCAGCCUCUAUUGGUUUUGUCUAACCAUAACAGAGGCGUCGUCGUGCUCGUUUCGGGUUUUGACGGUCAUCCGAGAUUGCGGAGUAGAGGCCGGAGAGAGCAGACCUUGACGCGACCCCAGUUCCUGCACCACAAAAGCAAAAUGGAGUCUCACUCUAGACUCUACACUACCCAAGCAUGGAGUCAUCACAUCCUAUACUAUCCUCCUUAGAAUGCACCCGACAACAAGAAAACAAGCGAAAUGCUUGGGGGCGCUUAUGGCGUCUUUCUUUUUCUUUUUCUUUUUCUUUUCUCUUCUCAUUUGUUUUAUUUAACUUCUAUAUGAUUGUUAGAUUUAUUUGCAUGUUUGGGCUAUAUCUUACAUGGGAUUUGGUAGCUAAAUCUUAUUUAGUGGCAUUUAAUCUAGUUAACAACAAAUUAUCGAAUCUAUUUUACAUCGAUCUUAAGAGCUUUUUAAAAUCAA
This is a long non-coding RNA of Nicotiana attenuata, 939 nucleotides long. RefSeq lists it as uncharacterized. The transcript is spliced from 2 exons. The record is from RefSeq and is a predicted model, not a curated record. NCBI's taxonomy places the organism in Eukaryota, Viridiplantae, Streptophyta, Magnoliopsida, Solanales, Solanaceae.